Molecule: ribosomal RNA, 499 nt
Filed under: uncultured bacterium
Lineage: Bacteria
Description: bacterial SSU rRNA
Rfam family: Bacterial small subunit ribosomal RNA
Source: RNAcentral
GAUGAACGCUAGCGAUAGGCCUAACACAUGCAAGUCGAGGGGCAUCACAUGAGGCAGCAAUGCCGAUGGUGGCGACCGGCGCACGGGUGAGUAACACGUAUGCAACCUGCCUUCAACAAGGGGAUAACCCGUUGAAAAACGGACUAAUACCCUAUAAUACAGGGGUCCCGCAUGGGGAUAUUUGUUAAAGAUUGAUCGGUUGAAGAUGGGCAUGCGUUCCAUUAGCUGGUUGGUGAGGUAACGGCUCACCAAGGCAACGAUGGAUAGGGGAACUGAGAGGUUUAUCCCCCACACUGGUACUGAGACACGGACCAGACUCCUACGGGAGCAGCAGUGAGGAAUAUUGGUCAAUGGACGCAAGUCUGAACCAGCCACGUCGCGUGAAGGAAGACGGCCCUACGGGUUGUAAACUUCUUUUGUAAGGGAAUAAAGUGUAGUACGCGUACUAUUUUGCAUGUACCUUACGAAUAGGAUCGGCUAACUCCGUGCCAGCAGCCGC